Merluccius polli (Benguela hake) is the source of this 73-nucleotide non-coding RNA. The record is from the annotation of a GenBank genome assembly. Lineage: Eukaryota; Metazoa; Chordata; Actinopteri; Gadiformes; Merlucciidae.
GCCAAAAUAGAUCAGUUCGGAGAGCAUUAGAAUGAAGGUCUAAAGGUCCCCGGUUUGAUCCCGGGUUUUAGCA